RNAcentral lists this ribosomal RNA (372 nucleotides) under uncultured organism. RNAcentral's name for it is "partial 16S ribosomal RNA". It matches the Rfam family "Bacterial small subunit ribosomal RNA", at positions 527 to 896 of the family's 1533-position model. The record is from RNAcentral.
GUAGGUGGCAAGCGUUGUCCGGAAUUAUUGGGCGUAAAGUGCGCGCAGGCGGUUCUUUAAGUCUGAUGUGAAAGCCCACGGCUCAACCGUGGAGGGUCAUUGGAAACUGGAGAACUUGAGUACAGAAGAGGAAAGCGGAAUUCCACGUGUAGCGGUGAAAUGCGUAGAGAUGUGGAGGAACACCAGUGGCGAAGGCGGCUUUCUGGUCUGUAACUGACGCUGAGGCGCGAAAGCGUGGGGAGCAAACAGGGAUUAGAUACCCUGGUAGUCCACGCCGUAAACGAUGAGUGCUAAGUGUUAGGGGGUUUCCGCCCCCUUAGUGCUGCAGCUAACGCAUUAAGCACUCCGCCUGGGGAUACGGCCGCAAGGCUG